AUUUGAUGGUGAGGGAAGCUAGCACAUAAUUUCUUAAACAACUCCCAAUACUCAUACAAUGACUCCCCAGUUUGUUGGCGAAUGCCACAAAUUUCCUUCCUUAUACU
Molecule: small nucleolar RNA, 107 nt
Organism: Humulus lupulus (European hop)
Lineage: Eukaryota; Viridiplantae; Streptophyta; Magnoliopsida; Rosales; Cannabaceae
Source: RefSeq, a predicted model, not a curated record